AUUGAACGCUGGCGGCAGGCUUAACACAUGCAAGUCGAGCGGAGACUUCGGUCUUAGCGGCGAACGGGUGAGUAAUACCUAGGAAUCUGCCUAUUAGUGGGGGAUAACGAAUCGAAAGGUUCGCUAAUACCGCAUACGUCCUACGGGAGAAAGGGGGGAGUCUUCGGACCUCUCGCUAAUAGAUGAGCCUAGGCCGGGAUUAGCUAGUUGGUAGGGUAAAGGACCUACCAAGGCGACGAUCUGUAGCUGGUCUGAGAGGAUGGCCAGCCACACUGGAACUGAGACACGGUCCAGACUCCUACGGGAGGCAGCAGUGGGGAAGUAUUGGACAAUGGGGGCGAACCCUCGAUCCAGCCAUGCCGCGUGUGUGAAGAAGGCCUCGGUUGUAAGACACUUAAGUACGAGGAGGAA
RNAcentral lists this ribosomal RNA (411 nucleotides) under uncultured bacterium. RNAcentral describes it as "bacterial SSU rRNA". It matches the Rfam family "Bacterial small subunit ribosomal RNA", at positions 30 to 450 of the family's 1533-position model. The record is from RNAcentral.